Molecule: ribosomal RNA, 377 nt
Filed under: uncultured bacterium
Lineage: Bacteria
Description: bacterial SSU rRNA
Rfam family: Bacterial small subunit ribosomal RNA
Source: RNAcentral
UAAUACAGAGGGUGCAAGCGUUGUUCGGAAUUAUUGGGCGUAAAGCGCGUGUAGGCGGCUUGGCAAGUCAGAUGUGAAAGCCCUCGGCUUAACCGAGGAAGUGCGUCUGAAACUGCUGAGCUUGAGUGUCGGAGAGGAUGGCGGAAUUCCGCAAGUAGAGGUGAAAUUCGUAGAUAUGCGGAGGAACACCGGUGGCGAAGGCGGCCAUCUGGACGACUACUGACGCUGAGACGCGAAAGCGUGGGGAGCAAACAGGAUUAGAUACCCUGGUAGUCCACGCUGUAAACGAUGAGAACUAGGUGUCGUGGGUGUUGACCCCCGCGGUGCCGCAGCUAACGCAUUAAGUUCUCCGCCUGGGAAGUACGGCCGCAAGGCUA